This is a non-coding RNA of Rattus norvegicus (Norway rat), 3306 nucleotides long. The record is from RefSeq and is a predicted model, not a curated record. NCBI's taxonomy places the organism in Eukaryota, Metazoa, Chordata, Mammalia, Rodentia, Muridae.
CCUGAUGAUCCCACAGUAUAUGUUCAUGUUUCCCCCCUCUCUGGGGAAGCUCAACGUUCUCUUGAUUUUAAGUAUUCCUUACAUAGUAAUGUAAUAAUGGAUCCAAAACUCCUAUCUCCCUCCCAGACCCCUCUUCUAUCUCCACUAAGUGUCUAAGGAUACUUCGUGUUAGCCUGACUAAACCUGAGCUCUUGAUAACCACUGCUUUUUCUUCUUCACCAAAGCACUGUCUUCCUCCCGAUCCCCACAAGUCUCAGCCAAGAGAAAACCUUCAGUCUUCCCUCAUCUGUUCUCUCUACCCACACUACUCUCAUCUGCCAGCUCUUCCCUUAACUUCCACCCACAUGGCUUCUACUCUGAAUCUUGAGACCCUUCUAAAUUGACAUUGAUUUCUCUACACUUUUCUUAGCACAUCAAUAAACAGGCACUUUCUUCUUAAGGUGCACACUACCAUAAGCUACUUCACUCAAAACCCACUAAUGACUUCUGAAAAUAUUCUGAGCGAUACUAUGGCUCCAAGACCCCUGCAUUUCCUACUCCAAGGAUGUUUGACUUGCAUCUGCUACGCUUUCCUUCUCACCACACUGUCUUCUUACUGUCUCCACCUCUAAAUGGAGAACCUUGGCGUUCUCUGAGCCUAAAACUCUCUUCUGGUAUUCUGUUAUUUAUUUCUCAUAAGGUACCUCCUCCAUUAAUUCCCCGACUCCCAACAGCUCCCACCUGCUGUCAGAUUGAUGCUCUUAGACCAGCAUCUCAUAGGUUUCUAGCAUACGACAGAGCUGGCUUAAUUGUUUGAUGUUGUUACUUGGUCCCCAAAAGACUAAAAAGGUACAGAAAUUUCUUUUUCGAUUCUGCCUACUGCUGUAUUUCAACAGCAAUGUCUGGUUCAUAGAAGUUUUAUAAUUAUAAGAAGCUGAGGUGAACUUGAACUAGGAAUGCAUGUUAUCCUGAGUCAAUCUAAUUUUACAAAACAAUUAGGUACGUUAAAGAGUAGUGAACUAAUUCAAAGGAAUUUUAUCUUUUUUUUUUUUUAUAAGGGAGAAGCUGGCACAAAAGAAAAGAUUGCUCUGUGUAGCUCUACCUGUCCUGGAACCAAUUCUGCAAACCAAGCACUAGCUUCAAAUGCAGAUAUCUGCAUGUCUCUGCCCUCCCAAGACCUGGGAUUAAAGCUGUAUGAACACAUGCAAAGAGAACUGGCCUUACACUGGAUGGAGACAUGUGCCACUUGUUUGUCACUGAAGCAGUUGAAAAACGAACUAUUUCCAGGGUAAAACUGAAAAGAUUACAUGCCGACUGCCAGUUGAACCAGCUAUCUUUUCCCCAAUGGAUGGUUUUAGCUCCUCUGUCAAAGAUCAAGUGACCAUAGAGGUGUGGAGAUAUUUCUGGGUCUUCUAUUCUAUUCCAUCGAUCUACCAGCCUGUCUGUGUACCACUACCAUACAGUUUUUAUCACUAUUGCUCGGUAAUAUAGCUUAAGAUCAGGGAUAGUGAAUCCCCCAGAAGUUCUUUUAUUGUUGAGAAUAGUUUUCACUAUCCUAGAUUUUUUAUUUAUUCCAAAUUAAUUUGCAAAUUGCUCAAAUUCUAUGAAGAACUGAGUUGGAAUUUUGAUAGGGAUUAUACUAAAUCUGUAGAUUGCUUUUGGCAAGAUGGCCAUUUUUAGUAUGUUAAUCCUGCCAAUCCAUGAGCAUGGGUGAUCUUUCCAUCUUCUGAGGUCUUAGUAGAUUUCUUUCUUCAGAGACUUGAAGUUCUUUCACUUGUUUGGGUAGAGUCACACAAAGGUAUUUUAUAUUAUUUGUGACUAUUGUUAAGGGUGUUGUUUCCCCAAUUUCUUUCUCUGCCUGUUUAUCCUUUGAGAAAAGGAAGGCUACUGAUUUGUCUGAGUUAAUUUUAUAUCCAGUCACUUUGCCGAAGUUGUUUAUCAGUCUUAGGGGUUCUCUGGUGGAACUUUUGGGGUCACUUAAGUAUACUAUCAUAUCAUCUACAAACAGUGAUAUUCUGACUUCUUCCUUUCCAAUUUGUAUCCCCCUUUGACCUCCUUUUGUUGUCCAACUGCUCGGGCUAGGACUUCGAGUACUAUAUUGAAUAAGUAGGGAGAGAGUGGGCAGCCUUGUCUAGUCCCUGAUUUUAGUGGGAUUGCUUCAAGUUUCUCUCCAUUUAGUUUGAUGUUGGCUACUGGUGGCUGUUUACUGCUUUUACUAUGUUUAGGUAUGGGCCUUGAAUUCCUGAUCUUUCUAGGACUUUUAUCAUGAAUUGAAUUGAAUUUUGUCAAAUGCUUUCUCAGCAUCUUAGGAGAUGGAAUGCAAAUUGAUCCAUUCUUAUCUCCUUGUACAAAGCUUAAGUCCAAGUGGAUCAAGGACCUCCACAUAAAACCAGAUACACUGAAACUACUAGAAGAGAAAGUGGGGAAGAGUCUCAAACACAUGGGCAUUGAGGAAAAUUUCCUGAACAGAAUACCAAUGGCUUAUGCUCUAAGAUCAACAAUCGACAACUGGGAUCUCAUAAAAUUGCAAAGCUUCUGUAAGGCAAAGGACACUGUCAGUAAGUCAAAACAGCAACCAACAGAUUGGAAAAAGAUCUUUACCAAUCCUACAAUUAGACUCCAGAGUAACCCUAUUAAAAAUGGGGAACAGAGGUAAACAAAGAAUUCUCAACUGAGUAAUAUUGAAUGGCCAAGAAGUACCUAAAGAAAUGUUCAACAUCCUUAGAAAUGCAAAUCAAAACAACCCUGAGAUUCCACCUCAUGCCAGUCAGAAUGGUUAAGAUCAAAAACUCAGGUAACAGCAGAUGCUGGCUAGGUUGUAGAGAAAGAAGAACACUCCUCCAUUGUUGGUGGGAUUGCAAGUUGGUACAACCACUCUGGAAAUCAGUCUGAAGGUUCCUUGGAAGACUGGACAUAGUAAUACCUGAGAACUCAACUAUAACACUCCUGGGCAUAUACCCAAAAAAUGUUCCAACAUAUAACAAGGCCAUAUGCUCCACUAUGUUCAUAGCAGACUUAUUUAUAGUAUCCAGAAGCUGGAAAGAACCCAGAUGUCCUUCAACAGAGGAAUGGAUACAGAAAAUUUUGUACAUUUAUACAAUGGAGCACUAUUCAGCUAUUAAAAACAAUGACUUCAUGAAAUUCAUAGGCAAAUGGAUGGAACUAGAAAAUAUCAUCCUGAGUGAGGUAACCCAGUCACAAAAGAACACACAUGGUAAAAGCUCGGAAUACCCAAGAUACAAUUCACAGACCACAUGAAGCUCAAGAAGAAGGAAGACCAAAGUGUGGAUGCUUCAGACCUUCUUAGAAGGGGGAACAAAAUAUUCA